GGUUAAGCGACUAAGCGUACACGGUGGAUGCCCUGGCAGUCAGAGGCGAUGAAGGACGUGCUAAUCUGCGAUAAGCGUCGGUAAGGUGAUAUGAACCGUUAUAACCGGCGAUUUCCGAAUGGGGAAACCCAGUGUGAUUCGUCACACUAUCAUUAACUGAAUCCAUAGGUUAAUGAGGCGAACCGGGGGAACUGAAACAUCUAAGUACCCCGAGGAAAAGAAAUCAACCGAGAUUCCCCCAGUAGCGGCGAGCGAACGGGGAGCAGCCCAGAGCCUGAAUCAGUGUGUGUGUUAGUGGAAGCGUCUGGAAAGGCGCGCGAUACAGGGUGACAGCCCCGUACACAAAAAUGCACAUGCUGUGAGCUCGAUGAGUAGGGCGGGACACGUGGUAUCCUGUCUGAAUAUGGGGGGACCAUCCUCCAAGGCUAAAUACUCCUGACUGACCGAUAGUGAACCAGUACCGUGAGGGAAAGGCGAAAAGAACCCCGGCGAGGGGAGUGAAAAAGAACCUGAAACCGUGUACGUACAAGCAGUGGGAGCACGCUUAGGCGUGUGACUGCGUACCUUUUGUAUAAUGGGUCAGCGACUUAUAUUCUGUAGCAAGGUUAACCGAAUAGGGGAGCCGAAGGGAAACCGAGUCUUAACUGGGCGUUAAGUUGCAGGGUAUAGACCCGAAACCCGGUGAUCUAGCCAUGGGCAGGUUGAAGGUUGGGUAACACUAACUGGAGGACCGAACCGACUAAUGUUGAAAAAUUAGCGGAUGACUUGUGGCUGGGGGUGAAAGGCCAAUCAAACCGGGAGAUAGCUGGUUCUCCCCGAAAGCUAUUUAGGUAGCGCCUCGUGAAUUCAUCUCCGGGGGUAGAGCACUGUUUCGGCAAGGGGGUCAUCCCGACUUACCAACCCGAUGCAAACUGCGAAUACCGGAGAAUGUUAUCACGGGAGACACACGGCGGGUGCUAACGUCCGUCGUGAAGAGGGAAACAACCCAGACCGCCAGCUAAGGUCCCAAAGUCAUGGUUAAGUGGGAAACGAUGUGGGAAGGCCCAGACAGCCAGGAUGUUGGCUUAGAAGCAGCCAUCAUUUAAAGAAAGCGUAAUAGCUCACUGGUCGAGUCGGCCUGCGCGGAAGAUGUAACGGGGCUAAACCAUGCACCGAAGCUGCGGCAGCGACGCUUAUGCGUUGUUGGGUAGGGGAGCGUUCUGUAAGCCUGCGAAGGUGUGCUGUGAGGCAUGCUGGAGGUAUCAGAAGUGCGAAUGCUGACAUAAGUAACGAUAAAGCGGGUGAAAAGCCCGCUCGCCGGAAGACCAAGGGUUCCUGUCCAACGUUAAUCGGGGCAGGGUGAGUCGACCCCUAAGGCGAGGCCGAAAGGCGUAGUCGAUGGGAAACAGGUUAAUAUUCCUGUACUUGGUGUUACUGCGAAGGGGGGACGGAGAAGGCUAUGUUGGCCGGGCGACGGUUGUCCCGGUUUAAGCGUGUAGGCUGGUUUUCCAGGCAAAUCCGGAAAAUCAAGGCUGAGGCGUGAUGACGAGGCACUACGGUGCUGAAGCAACAAAUGCCCUGCUUCCAGGAAAAGCCUCUAAGCAUCAGGUAAUAUCAAAUCGUACCCCAAACCGACACAGGUGGUCAGGUAGAGAAUACCAAGGCGCUUGAGAGAACUCGGGUGAAGGAACUAGGCAAAAUGGUGCCGUAACUUCGGGAGAAGGCACGCUGAUAUGUAGGUGAAGUCCCUCGCGGAUGGAGCUGAAAUCAGUCGAAGAUACCAGCUGGCUGCAACUGUUUAUUAAAAACACAGCACUGUGCAAACACGAAAGUGGACGUAUACGGUGUGACGCCUGCCCGGUGCCGGAAGGUUAAUUGAUGGGGUCAGCGCAAGCGAAGCUCUUGAUCGAAGCCCCGGUAAACGGCGGCCGUAACUAUAACGGUCCUAAGGUAGCGAAAUUCCUUGUCGGGUAAGUUCCGACCUGCACGAAUGGCGUAAUGAUGGCCAGGCUGUCUCCACCCGAGACUCAGUGAAAUUGAACUCGCUGUGAAGAUGCAGUGUACCCGCGGCAAGACGGAAAGACCCCGUGAACCUUUACUAUAGCUUGACACUGAACAUUGAGCCUUGAUGUGUAGGAUAGGUGGGAGGCUUUGAAGUGUGGACGCCAGUCUGCAUGGAGCCGACCUUGAAAUACCACCCUUUAAUGUUUGAUGUUCUAACGUUGACCCGUGAUCCGGGUUGCGGACAGUGUCUGGUGGGUAGUUUGACUGGGGCGGUCUCCUCCUAAAGAGUAACGGAGGAGCACGAAGGUUGGCUAAUCCUGGUCGGACAUCAGGAGGUUAGUGCAAUGGCAUAAGCCAGCUUGACUGCGAGCGUGACGGCGCGAGCAGGUGCGAAAGCAGGUCAUAGUGAUCCGGUGGUUCUGAAUGGAAGGGCCAUCGCUCAACGGAUAAAAGGUACUCCGGGGAUAACAGGCUGAUACCGCCCAAGAGUUCAUAUCGACGGCGGUGUUUGGCACCUCGAUGUCGGCUCAUCACAUCCUGGGGCUGAAGUAGGUCCCAAGGGUAUGGCUGUUCGCCAUUUAAAGUGGUACGCGAGCUGGGUUUAGAACGUCGUGAGACAGUUCGGUCCCUAUCUGCCGUGGGCGCUGGAGAACUGAGGGGGGCUGCUCCUAGUACGAGAGGACCGGAGUGGACGCAUCACUGGUGUUCGGGUUGUCAUGCCAAUGGCACUGCCCGGUAGCUAAAUGCGGAAGAGAUAAGUGCUGAAAGCAUCUAAGCACGAAACUUGCCCCGAGAUGAGUUCUCCCUGACCCUUUAAGGGUCCUGAAGGAACGUUGAAGACGACGACGUUGAUAGGCCGGGUGUGUAAGCGCAGCGAUGCGUUGAGCUAACCGGUACUAAUGAACCGUGAGGCUUAACCUU
This 2904-nucleotide ribosomal RNA is filed under the name Escherichia coli. RNAcentral's name for it is "23S ribosomal RNA". It matches the Rfam family "Bacterial large subunit ribosomal RNA". The record is from RNAcentral. Lineage: Bacteria; Pseudomonadati; Pseudomonadota; Gammaproteobacteria; Enterobacterales; Enterobacteriaceae.